UGAAAUGUUUCUUAAGUAAAAAUUGUGUGGCACGCACUAUACAUUGACAUAACAUUUGUGAUGCGGACGACAUCACAGAAGAUUGUUCAACAUAGCGCGUGUGCAAAAAGAUGCCUAUCACAAACAUUUAAUCUAUCAUGCUAUUUGGGAUGUGAACCAUAUAACACAUGUUAAAGAAUUACAAAAUGUGUGCGGUCCUAUUAUUAUUGCACACAUUUUCCUUUUUUAAUAUAGUACAGGCGCAAGCGUUUAUAUACACACGCUACAUAAG
RNAcentral lists this long non-coding RNA (271 nucleotides) under Hordeum vulgare. RNAcentral describes it as "long non-coding RNA (HVUL_LNC001931)". Lineage: Eukaryota; Viridiplantae; Streptophyta; Magnoliopsida; Poales; Poaceae. The record is from RNAcentral.